RNAcentral lists this transfer RNA (71 nucleotides) under Loxodonta africana (African savanna elephant). It matches the Rfam family "tRNA". Rfam says of the family: Transfer RNA (tRNA) molecules are approximately 80 nucleotides in length. The record is from Rfam by way of RNAcentral. Lineage: Eukaryota; Metazoa; Chordata; Mammalia; Proboscidea; Elephantidae.
GCAUUGGUAGUUCAGUGGUAGAAUUCCUGCCUCCCGUGCAAGAGACCAGAGUUUGAUUCCUGCCCAGUGCA